AUCUGUGCUCUUAAUAAGAACAUACUUGCUGGCCGAAACAGCCUUAUGUGGCGACAACCCACAUGAGUUGGUGAGGUAAGAGAGAGUUAAAGAUUGGGCUUUUGAGAUUGAUGUUGAGUUUACAGAAGGCAGGGUUUGAAUAUAACGAGCAUAACAAGCUUUGGAAUCUACGAUGCUAUGAUUGAUGAGGAUUUUGGAUACGAAACGAAACAUUUCUUCAAAAUAGAAAGAAGGGGUUUUAGCAAUAUAAACUUACAGCAUAAGAGAAGCUGAAAAUGGCGGAUGAAAGCCCCUUCGCAGUUCACUCGCAGGGAUACUAUCGUUCGGACCUAAAAGCCGAAUCUGCGGCUCUGAAAAGAAUCUGAAAACUGGUGAGCAAGAACAAACAAAAAAGGAUCCGGCCACCUAGUUUCCUAGUCGACCCGAUUCCACUAAAAUACAUUAGGCUUAAGUUUUUUAAGCAGUGGAACAAGGCUGACAACGGAUUGGAUUUUGCUG
This 498-nucleotide unclassified non-coding RNA is filed under the name Hevea brasiliensis (rubber tree). The record is from RNAcentral. Lineage: Eukaryota; Viridiplantae; Streptophyta; Magnoliopsida; Malpighiales; Euphorbiaceae.